UCAUAGGCAGUUCAAUUUUUUUUUGACGUGCAGUCAAACAACAAUAGUAAGAUUAAAGCAGCUUAAAUAAAGCAAAUAAUAUGAACUUUGCCGAAUGAAUGUGUAGAAGCAGAUAGCCUGGGAUCCAGACGAGUUUUCAUAUUUUGCCCCUAUUGCUGCUUUGAUGGACUUUGACCAUGCUGUCCCGGAGCGAGGCAGCUUCAGCCCCGGGGAAACUACUUCCCUGCUCCCCAACUACGCAAAAUUCAUCGGUAACCGGUGUUGGCGGCAGGCCCCGAGGUGGAAGAUGCCAGAGAGAUCUGCUGAGGGACUGGAAGCUGGACAAAGCUGACGUGAAGUUUACCGGCAGCUGUGACUGACUGGCGGCGUGUCCGCAGUCACAGCUGCCGCUGAAGGAGAAGGCAGAUCGGCCAGCGGAAAUGUCGGCAUGUCGCCGGUGAAGCAUCAGGAGGACCGGCCGCAGUCACUGUCCAGAACAGCCAGUGUCUCUGCCCCAGCACCAGCUCCACGUUGGGGGCAGCAGCCCACACUGGUUACCGAUGAAUUUUGCAAAAAUGAAAAUAAUUCAGAGUUAGUUCUGGUCCCUUGUAUUAAUAUCCUUAGGAACCAUGUGCAAUGAUUUAGCUUCCUCAUUUGUCUCUUGUUGAUCGCUCAGCAACGGAAUGAUGGUGUACAAAGCAGCAUGUAACAACAUUUGAUUCAUGGAGCCAGUUCACUUCCAUUCCAUGUUAUUGAAUGAUUGAAAAGCUAUUCAUCCGACAAAGCUGCCUCACUUCACAAAGAGAGGAAAACCAUCCCAACUGUUCCAGUGAAGAAUCAGCCAUGUAGCCAUCACCAUUUUGCUUGCAGACAAUGUCGACUAAAACCCAGGAUCGAGCACCAACUGCAGCGAACCACAGUCCUCUAAUGUUUCCAUCAGACAAGGUCCUUCAGGAAUCAGGGCUCCUUGCCUCUGGGGAACAUCUGUAACUGGACCAACCUGAACCACACAGUCUCGGGGACCACAUUCAUCCAGGACACUGACUAUGUGGAACCAGUCUGUCCGUAAUGCUUCAUAUGGAUAUCAGCGAUGAUACUGAAUGAUUAAUUACUGGUAAUGCUAGGUUCAGGAGGUAGAGUCGGUCAUCCACUAACCUGAACAUACUCUCCUCCACCAAAAAACGGAGGAGUGUAUUAGGAUGUAUAAGGUUAUAUUAAAGACCGCAGACCUCUAGCGGUAGUUAUGUACAAAGCCCCCAGAGGUCAGUGGUGGACCUGGUGAGUCCGACACAUUUGUGUAUUUCAAUGGAUUGUCUUAUAUUCUGCAAAGUAAUCGUGCUGAUAACCUGCCAUGUCACCCUAACCAUAACCUUUACCAUACCAAGCUCAUCAACCAUACAUAGUUCUUCAUAUGGUAAACAGACUCUAUUUAUAUAGCCACUUA
Molecule: long non-coding RNA, 1423 nt
Organism: Scophthalmus maximus (turbot)
Lineage: Eukaryota; Metazoa; Chordata; Actinopteri; Pleuronectiformes; Scophthalmidae
Exons: 3
Source: RefSeq, a predicted model, not a curated record